RNAcentral lists this transfer RNA (65 nucleotides) under Reticulitermes lucifugus. Its description in RNAcentral is "tRNA-Arg". The record is from RNAcentral. Lineage: Eukaryota; Metazoa; Arthropoda; Insecta; Blattodea; Rhinotermitidae.
AAGUGAGAAGCAAACUUUGCAAUCAGUUUCGACCUGAUCCCCGAUACUAAUAAUAUCCUUACUUU